Strigops habroptila (Kakapo) is the source of this 1844-nucleotide long non-coding RNA. The record is from Ensembl. NCBI's taxonomy places the organism in Eukaryota, Metazoa, Chordata, Aves, Psittaciformes, Psittacidae.
GGCGGCAGCUGGUGGCCCGGCGGGGCACCGCCACCCUCGGCCGCAUCGCGCCGGCCAUGGAUCCCUUCCCCAAGGACGGCGAGAGCGCGGCGGGCGGGGAGCCCAGCCGGGGCGCGGCCCCCUCCAGCGGGGUGGUGGUGCAGGUCCGGGAGAAGAAGGGCCCCCUGCGCGCCGCCAUCCCCUACAUGCCGUUCCCCGUGGCUGUCAUCUGCCUCUUCCUCAACACCUUCGUACCGGGGCUGGGAACGUUUGUAUCCGCUUUCACCGUGCUGUGCGGAGCCCGGACUGACCUCCCCGACAGGCACAUGUGUUGUGUGUUCUGGCUGAACAUUGCUGCUGCUCUGAUUCAGAUCCUGACAGCGAUCGUGAUGGUUGGCUGGAUUAUGAGUAUAUUUUGGGGGAUGGACAUGGUCAUUCUCGCAAGCUACAAGGAACAGGGGAUCCCACAGCAGCUGUAGUGGCUGGGACAAGUAUGGUCAGAGAAACACGGCGAGAGAUUUCCUUUGGCAGCUCUGGGCCACGGACCUUUUCAUUACCCUUUGUCUUUCUUCUUCUUCUUCUUCCUUUUGUUUUGUUUUGUUCUGUUUGAACCUGGUCCAUCUGCCCAUCCAGCGGAGCGGAGGUGCAGAGCAGCCGACGGAGACUUGCACUGAUCCCAUUGAGCAGCAGAGAUGGGGCAAGCACAGCGUGGGGUAGGACUGGUCCUGGCCAGCACACGAUGGGCAGCUGAUGAGGAGGAUGGUGCCAGGAGAAGGAAACACCCUUGGCAAAGGUGGCAUCCAUGCAGGCAGCUGAGCCAGGGGAGCAGGAGAUGCUGCUUUCCUCCCUCUUCCCAGGAGGGAGUAGCUGAAGAUGCUUUGCCUCCUUUUUAUGCUCACUGUUAAAGGAAACUGGCUGUGGACAUCAAAUGCCAAGGAGCUAUUAACAGAUACAUCUACAGUAUAUAAAAGCAAACCAGUUGUACUUUUCCCCACUCUGAGAGUCCAUCCUUGACUGCUUCGUUGUAGCAGAGGGCUCAGCCCAGCCUCCCCUGCUCACUGUGUAUAUAUGAUGCUCAAUGAAGCUCUGUCUGUGCAGAUAUCUUGAGAAACGUGCUUGCUGUAAAUCAUGCUGUACUGAUAAAUGGACCGAGACCAUCCCCUACUUCCAUCCACUGGCACUAUGUGAAGACCAGACCUCCCACCAGCCCUGAGGGGACGUUAUCUAGCAACGGACCAGUGCCCUGCAGCACCUUGACUCUAGAUGCUUGCCAAAGGCUUCUACUGUAAAACAAUACUGGGGGAGCCAAAAGACGACUUUUUCUCCUUUCCCCUGAAAGGGACUUGCUGGCAGUGUUUCCGUGCUUUGGAAGUGGAUCCCCUUACAGCUCGGCAUGUGUUCCUGGCUGGAGCAGCAUCCCUGCUCUGCUUCUCCAGAGGCCAAAUUCACCACCCAGCGCUUUCAUGCCUCUUGCUGGAGCACCACAGGGAAAAGUCAUCUCCUCCAGGACACCCACCAACACCAGGGCUGGAUAACUCACCUCCCACUUGCAGGAGCUGUGCCAUGUCAUCCACCAGUGCCCGCUGUGCCACACCACCACUGCAAACCAACCCAUCUGCGUGCUGGCAUAGCAAGAGGUCACAGCCAGUGAACGCUUGGUCUGCUUGAAGGCACCUGGCAAUCCCAGCAUCAUCAUCUGCUUUAUAAAUAUAGAUGUUUUAGAUGCAAGUUUUACAGCUAAAAGAGUGAUAGUGGGUAAUGAAGAAUAAAUGCAGUUGCUUCACCCCCAUCUGCCAACACCACAGUGUUUUCUGCUGCUCUUUCCCAUUGUGAAAACCUAAAAAAAAAAAAAAAAAAAAAAAAAG